AUUGAACGCUGGCGGCAGGCCUAACACAUGCAAGUCGAGCGGUAGAGAGAAGCUUGCUUCUCUUGAGAGCGGCGGACGGGUGAGUAAUGCCUAGGAAUCUGCCUAGUGGUGGGGGAUAACGUUCGGAAACGGACGCUAAUACCGCAUACGUCCUACGGGAGAAAGCGGGGGACCUUCGGGCCUCGCGCCAUUAGAUGAGCCUAGGUCGGAUUAGCUAGUUGGUGAGGUAAAGGCUCACCAAGGCGACGAUCCGUAACUGGUCUGAGAGGAUGAUCAGUCACACUGGAACUGAGACACGGUCCAGACUCCUACGGGAGGCAGCAGUGGGGAAUAUUGGACAAUGGGCGAAAGCCUGAUCCAGCCAUGCCGCGUGUGUGAAGAAGGUCUUCGGAUUGUAAAGCACUUUAAGUUGGGAGGAAGGGUAGUAACUUAAUACGUUGCUACUUUGACGUACCGACAG
This 460-nucleotide ribosomal RNA is filed under the name Pseudomonas sp. MIXRH13. RNAcentral's name for it is "bacterial SSU rRNA". It matches the Rfam family "Bacterial small subunit ribosomal RNA", at positions 30 to 484 of the family's 1533-position model. Lineage: Bacteria; Pseudomonadati; Pseudomonadota; Gammaproteobacteria; Pseudomonadales; Pseudomonadaceae. The record is from RNAcentral.